Molecule: ribosomal RNA, 468 nt
Filed under: uncultured bacterium
Lineage: Bacteria
Description: partial 16S ribosomal RNA
Rfam family: Bacterial small subunit ribosomal RNA
Source: RNAcentral
GACGAACGCUGGCGGCGUGCUUAAUACAUGCAAGUCGAACGGAAAGGCCCUGCUUUUGUGGGGUGCUCGAGUGGCGAACGGGUGAGUAACACGUGAGUAACCUGCCCUUGACUUUGGGAUAACUUCAGGAAACUGGGGCUAAUACCGGAUAGGAGCUCCUGCUGCAUGGUGGGGGUUGGAAAGUUUCGGCGGUUGGGGAUGGACUCGCGGCUUAUCAGCUUGUUGGUGGGGUAGUGGCUUACCAAGGCUUUGACGGGUAGCCGGCCUGAGAGGGUGACCGGCCACAUUGGGACUGAGAUACGGCCCAGACUCCUACGGGAGGCAGCAGUGGGGAAUAUUGCACAAUGGGCGGAAGCCUGAUGCAGCAACGCCGCGUGCGGGAUGACGGCCUUCGGGUUGUAAACCGCUUUCGCCUGUGACGAAGCGUGAGUGACGGUAAUGGGUAAAGAAGCGCCGGCUAACUACGUG